This is a non-coding RNA of Magnetospirillum sp. XM-1, 79 nucleotides long. The record is from Rfam. NCBI's taxonomy places the organism in Bacteria, Pseudomonadati, Pseudomonadota, Alphaproteobacteria, Rhodospirillales, Rhodospirillaceae.
UGUCUUUGACGUGGUGAUUUGUCCGACCGGAUUGCGGCCACGUAAAACAUUCCGCUAAAGAGGUCCGAGUGCUCCGAAU